AGAACGAACGCUGGCGGCAGGCUUAACACAUGCAAGUCGAACGCCCCGCAAGGGGAGUGGCAGACGGGUGAGUAACGCGUGGGAAUCUACCCAAUUCUACGGAACAACAGUUGGAAACGACUGCUAAUACCGUAUACGCCCUACGGGGGAAAGAUUUAUCGGAAUUGGAUGAGCCCGCGUUGGAUUAGCUAGUUGGUGGGUAAAGGCCUACAAGGCGACGAUCCAUAGCUGGUCUGAGAGGAUGAUCAGCCACAUUGGGACUGAGACACGGCCCAAACUCCUACGGGAGGCAGCAGUGGGGAAUAUUGGACAAUGGGCGCAAGCCUGAUCCAGCCAUGCCGCGUGAGUGAUGAAGGUCUUAGGAUCGUAAAGCUCUUCACCGGAGAAGAUAAUGACGGUAUCCGGAAGAAGAACGCCCCGGACUAACGUUCGUGCCAGCACGCCGC
This 446-nucleotide ribosomal RNA is filed under the name uncultured soil bacterium. Its description in RNAcentral is "bacterial SSU rRNA". It matches the Rfam family "Bacterial small subunit ribosomal RNA", at positions 26 to 518 of the family's 1533-position model. The record is from RNAcentral.